RNAcentral lists this ribosomal RNA (771 nucleotides) under uncultured Vagococcus sp. RNAcentral's name for it is "bacterial SSU rRNA". It matches the Rfam family "Bacterial small subunit ribosomal RNA", at positions 28 to 776 of the family's 1533-position model. Lineage: Bacteria; Bacillati; Bacillota; Bacilli; Lactobacillales; Enterococcaceae. The record is from RNAcentral.
GACGAACGCGGGCGGCGUGCCUAAUACAUGCAAGUCGAACGCACGAAGUUGAAGAGCUUGCUCUUUAACCAAGUGAGUGGCGGACGGGUGAGUAACACGUGGGUAACCUGCCCAUUAGAGGGGGAUAACAUUCGGAAACGGAUGCUAAUACCGCAUAGUUUCAGGAAUCGCAUGAUUCUUGAAGGAAAGGUGGCUUCGGCUACCACUAAUGGAUGGACCCGCGGCGUAUUAGCUAGUUGGUGAGGUAAUGGCUCACCAAGGCAAUGAUACGUAGCCGACCUGAGAGGGUGAUCGGCCACACUGGGACUGAGACACGGCCCAGACUCCUACGGGAGGCAGCAGUAGGGAAUCUUCCGCAAUGGACGAAAGUCUGACGGAGCAACGCCGCGUGAGUGAAGAAGGUUUUCGGAUCGUAAAACUCUGUUGUUAAAGAAGAACAAGGAUGAGAGUAACUGCUCAUCCCCUGACGGUAUUUAACCAGAAAGCCACGGCUAACUACGUGCCAGCAGCCGCGGUAAUACGUAGGUGGCAAGCGUUGUCCGGAUUUAUUGGGCGUAAAGCGAGCGCAGGCGGUUCUUUAAGUCUGAUGUGAAAGCCCCCGGCUCAACCGGGGAGGGUCAUUGGAAACUGGAGAACUUGAGUGCAGAAGAGGAGAGUGGAAUUCCACGUGUAGCGGUGAAAUGCGUAGAUAUGUGGAGGAACACCAGUGGCGAAGGCGACUCUCUGGUCUGUAACUGACGCUGAGGCUCGAAAGCGUGGGGAGCAAACAGG